Molecule: ribosomal RNA, 301 nt
Filed under: uncultured bacterium
Lineage: Bacteria
Description: partial 16S ribosomal RNA
Rfam family: Bacterial small subunit ribosomal RNA
Source: RNAcentral
CAGUAGCCGCGGUAAUACGGAGGAUCCAAGCGUUAUCCGGAUUUAUUGGGUUUAAAGGGUGCGUAGGUGGCCUGUUAAGUCAGGGGUGAAAGACGGUAGCUUAACUAUCGCAGUGCCCUUGAUACUGAUGGGCUUGAAUGAACUAGAGGUAGGCGGAAUGUGACAAGUAGCGUUGAAAUGCAUAGAUAUGUCACAGAACGCCAAUUGCGAAGGCAGCUUACUAUGGUUUGAUUGACACUGAGGCACGAAAGCGUGGGGAUCAAACAGGAUUAGAUACCCCGGUAGUCCCUGUCUCUUAUAC